GCAGAGUAGACAGCAAUGCGUUUUUUGUUAAAAAAGCAGUGCCUUUUGAACGGGGAGUUGUCAAAAGGACGAAUGAUGAAAAUCGACGGUGUUGUUGUCGCAUCCCGCUGC
RNAcentral lists this non-coding RNA (111 nucleotides) under human gut metagenome. RNAcentral's name for it is "THF riboswitch". It matches the Rfam family "THF (Tetrahydrofolate) riboswitch aptamer". Rfam says of the family: THF riboswitch presents a pseudoknot that joins P1-P2 and the loop of P3 and two THF binding. The record is from RNAcentral.